GUACACUCCUACGGGAGGCAGCAGUGGGGAAUAUUGGACAAUGGGCGCAAGCCUGAUCCAGCCAUGCCGCGUGAGUGAUGAAGGCCCUAGGGUUGUAAAGCUCUUUCACCGGUGAAGAUAAUGACGGUAACCGGAGAAGAAGCCCCGGCUAACUUCGUGCCAGCAGCCGCGGUAAUACGAAGGGGGCUAGCGUUGUUCGGAUUUACUGGGCGUAAAGCGCACGUAGGCGGACUAUUAAGUCAGGGGUGAAAUCCCGGGGCUCAACCCCGGAACUGCCUUGGAUACUGGUAGUCUUGAGUUCGAGAGAGGUGAGUGGAAUUCCGAGUGUAGAGGUGAAAUUCGUAGAUAUUCGGAGGAACACCAGUGGCGAAGGCGGCUCACUGGCUCGAUACUGACGCUGAGGUGCGAAAGCGUGGGGAGCAAACAGGAUUAGAAACCCGGGUAGUCCCAUGA
This 453-nucleotide ribosomal RNA is filed under the name uncultured organism. RNAcentral describes it as "partial 16S ribosomal RNA". It matches the Rfam family "Bacterial small subunit ribosomal RNA", at positions 331 to 800 of the family's 1533-position model. The record is from RNAcentral.